This is a long non-coding RNA of Bos taurus (domestic cattle), 537 nucleotides long. The record is from Ensembl. NCBI's taxonomy places the organism in Eukaryota, Metazoa, Chordata, Mammalia, Artiodactyla, Bovidae.
GGGAGGGUAGGCAUGGCAAUCAAGCACAUAGGCUAGUUACAUUUUAGAGUGUUAAGGGAACGCUGAAGUCUUGAGGGAGCCUAGCUGACUCCACUCCAUCUAAUUAGAGGGAGGGGAGGAAUUGAGGGAAAUCUUGAAAGAGUUGCGGUUUGUCAAAAGUUUGCAGUUGUAGCUGUGGGACUACAGAAGUUAUUUAAUCUUUGGGCCUGUUUCUUCUUCUAUAAAACAUUGAGAAAUGGGCCCACCUAUCUUUCUGGGUUGUCUAUCUUUCUGGGUUGUCUUGAAGAUUACAUGAAAGCAUGUGUGAGAAGUCUGGAGCUUGUUAAAUUUUUGCAGACCACAGUUUUAGCUUGUGGGCCAUACAGAAACAGACCAUGGGCCACUUUUGGCCCUCAGUGAAAAGGCUUACUGCCUCCUGAAAUACAUUUUUGUAUCCUCUAAAGAUUGGAACUGCAACCGUGACUUUUUUCCUGCCGAGAAAAACCUACCAGUAAUGACUGUAUAAACAUCCUGAUUGCAAAUGUGACAAAGAAACAC